Molecule: ribosomal RNA, 358 nt
Filed under: uncultured Bacillus sp.
Lineage: Bacteria; Bacillati; Bacillota; Bacilli; Caryophanales; Bacillaceae
Description: bacterial SSU rRNA
Rfam family: Bacterial small subunit ribosomal RNA
Source: RNAcentral
GAUGAAGGUUUUCGGAUCGUAAAACUCUGUUGUUAGGAGAAAAACAAGUACCGUUCAAAUAGGGCGGUACCUUGACGGUACCUAACCAAAAAGCCACGGCUAACUACGUGCCACCACCCGCGGUAAUACUUAGGUGGCAAGCGUUGUCCGGAAUUAUUGGGCGUAAAGCGCGCGCAGGCGGUUUCUUAAUUCUGAUGUGAAAGCCCCCGGCUCAACCGGGGAGGGUCAUUGGAAACUGGGGAACUUGAGUGCAGAAAAGGAAAGUGGAAUUCCACGUGUAGCGGUGAAAUGCUUAGAGAUGUGAAGGAACACCAGUGCCAAAGGCAACUCUCUGGUCUGUAACUGACGCUAAGGCGCG